This 460-nucleotide ribosomal RNA is filed under the name uncultured bacterium. Its description in RNAcentral is "partial 16S ribosomal RNA". It matches the Rfam family "Bacterial small subunit ribosomal RNA", at positions 338 to 795 of the family's 1533-position model. The record is from RNAcentral.
CCUACGGGUGGCAGCAGUGAGGAAUAUUGGUCAAUGGGCGCAAGCCUGAACCAGCCACGCCGCGUGCAGGAAGACUGCUCUAUGGUUUGUAAACUUCUUUUAUACGGGAGUAAAGUACAAUAUGCAUAUCGCUUUGCAUGUACCUUACGAAUAAGGAUCGGCUAACUCCGUGCCAGCAGCCGCGGUAAUACGGAGGAUUCAAGCGUUAUCCGGAUUUAUUGGGUUUAAAGGGAGCGUAGGCGGUCUGAUAAGUCAGAGGUGAAAGCCCGGGGCUCAACCUCAGAAUUGCAGUUGAUACUGUUCGGCUAGAGUAUAGUAGAGGUAGGCGGAAUGUAUGGUGUAGCGGUGAAAUGCUUAGAGAUCAUGAAGAACUCCGAUUGCGAAGGCAGCCUGCUGGGCUACUACUGACGUUGAGGCACGAAAGCGUGGGGAGCAAACAGGAUUAGAUACCCGUGUAGUC